RNAcentral lists this ribosomal RNA (1372 nucleotides) under uncultured bacterium. RNAcentral describes it as "bacterial SSU rRNA". It matches the Rfam family "Bacterial small subunit ribosomal RNA", at positions 28 to 1381 of the family's 1533-position model. The record is from RNAcentral.
GAUGGACGCUGGCGGCGUGCCUAAUACAUGCAAGUCGAGCGAACGGACGAGAAGCUUGCUUCUCUGAUGUUAGCGGCGGACGGGUGAGUAACACGUGGAUAACCUACCUAUAAGACUGGGAUAACUUCGGGAAACCGGAGCCAAUACCGGAUAAUAUUUUGAACCGCAUGGUUCAAAAGUGAAAGACGGUCUUGCUGUCGCUUAUAGAUGGAUCCGCGCUGCAUUAGCUAGUUGGUAAGGUAACGGCUUACCAAGGCAACGAUGCAUAGCCGACCUGAGAGGGUGAUCGGCCACACUGGAACUGAGACACGGUCCAGACUCCUACGGGAGGCAGCAGUAGGGAAUCUUCCGCAAUGGGCGAAAGCCUGACGGAGCAACGCCGCGUGAGUGAUGAAGGUCUUCGGAUCGUAAAACUCUGUUAUUAGGGAAGAACAUAUGUGUAAGUAACUGUGCACAUCUUGACGGUACCUAAUCAGAAAGCCACGGCUAACUACGUGCCAGCAGCCGCGGUAAUACGUAGGUGGCAAGCGUUAUCCGGAAUUAUUGGGCGUAAAGCGCGCGUAGGCGGUUUUUUAAGUCUGAUGUGAAAGCCCACGGCUCAACCGUGGAGGGUCAUUGGAAACUGGAAAACUUGAGUGCAGAAGAGGAAAGUGGAAUUCCAUGUGUAGCGGUGAAAUGCGCAGAGAUAUGGAGGAACACCAGUGGCGAAGGCGACUUUCUGGUCUGUAACUGACGCUGAUGUGCGAAAGCGUGGGGAUCAAACAGGAUUAGAUACCCUGGUAGUCCACGCCGUAAACGAUGAGUGCUAAGUGUUAGGGGGUUUCCGCCCCUUAGUGCUGCAGCUAACGCAUUAAGCACUCCGCCUGGGGAGUACGACCGCAAGGUUGAAACUCAAAGGAAUUGACGGGGACCCGCACAAGCGGUGGAGCAUGUGGUUUAAUUCGAAGCAACGCGAAGAACCUUACCAAAUCUUGACAUCCUUUGACAACUCUAGAGAUAGAGCCUUCCCCUUCGGGGGACAAAGUGACAGGUGGUGCAUGGUUGUCGUCAGCUCGUGUCGUGAGAUGUUGGGUUAAGUCCCGCAACGAGCGCAACCCUUAAGCUUAGUUGCCAUCAUUAAGUUGGGCACUCUAAGUUGACUGCCGGUGACAAACCGGAGGAAGGUGGGGAUGACGUCAAAUCAUCAUGCCCCUUAUGAUUUGGGCUACACACGUGCUACAAUGGACAAUACAAAGGGCAGCGAAACCGCGAGGUCAAGCAAAUCCCAUAAAGUUGUUCUCAGUUCGGAUUGUAGUCUGCAACUCGACUACAUGAAGCUGGAAUCGCUAGUAAUCGUAGAUCAGCAUGCUACGGUGAAUACGUUCCCGGGUCU